Molecule: long non-coding RNA, 1691 nt
Organism: Gasterosteus aculeatus aculeatus (three-spined stickleback)
Lineage: Eukaryota; Metazoa; Chordata; Actinopteri; Perciformes; Gasterosteidae
Source: RefSeq, a predicted model, not a curated record
CAUACAUACACAGUGACACCUGCCCAUCAGUAACUAACAUUCACACACUGUAGUCGCAGCUACACGAGCAAUGUUGGGUUAAGUGUCUUGCCCAAGAACACAUCGACAUGACCGUUGUUUUGGCUGAGGGUGUAGCCCACAGAAGCCUGUUCCUUCUUCCUCCCUAAAAGUGCAAGUUCUCGUUUCAUAGUUUCCCUUAUCGAGAGUCGCUACAACAUUAUGCAGUUCAUUUUGCAGUAUGCACGAUCAAGCUAAAACCUAAAACAAGCUCUUAAGGCAGCUGACAAACUAAUACAUUUCUUGCAAUAUUAUUCACAAAUAUAACUAACUAAUAAGUUUUUAAUGUUUGAGGGCUUGAACAAUGUUGGUAAGUGUUAUAAGACACCGCAGGGUUCAACUCACACAGUUCACGGGGAAAUAAGACAGAAACGAGAGUUGACUGUAUGCUAUACAAAUACUAUAGAGUGUAUUAGUUUUACUCGGUUAAAACUUCAAAAAGGGUUCAAAAAAAGUUUCUCUCUGUGCUGUUAGAGGGUGUUCUUUCCGUUGCCUCUUAAGGAAGAUUACUGCCAUAAAGAGUCAUUCAACUCAAAAGUAAAACUCUUAUGUCUACAAGACUGACUCCUAGUGAGAGCUGGCCAGCUGACUAGAGACCCGCCGGAUGCUAGCUUGGUGAAACACCAGGCAGGGGAGAUUUUUCAAUUAUUUUUACAAUUUUGGUUCAGCAUCAAUUUUUGUGAAACAGCUUUUAAUUUGAAAUCAAAACUGUUGACUUUUGUGUCUGUGAAUUUAGUGCUGUAAUUGCAAAAUUGUUAAAACAUUUAGCCACUCUCGCAUUUCGCAUUGUUGGAUAGGCGAGGUAUAAUGAUGCCAUUCAUGCUGAAAUUUUGUGUCUUUGUUCGCAUACAAUGUACUCUAAAUGGAUUGGUAUGGUAUGAUUUUGAAAAUAGCCCACGUGAAAGUAAAGUUCAGGCUUUCAUAACAUGAAUUCAUGACAUGCUGUUCACACAAUUUAGUGUACUAUGAAAGUAUUUUGGUUGAAGAAUAGCCCAAUGCCUGUGGCUUCUUUAUGGAAACCCUAUAGUUGGUUUUGAUGUUAUUCAAAGAGUUUGUUUAAGGAAAGCUUUAUUUUCAAAAGAAGCUGUUUAUUGUGUUAGAGGUAACAACUAACAAGCGUCAGUGAUGAAGAGGUAGAUAAUGUUUGACAGGAAUAUUGUGACAAUGGAUCAAAGGUUAAAUUCUAUGGUCCUGUCAGAUCUACCUACAACCUUCAGGAGACUUCUGUCUGCAAGUGAGUGUAAAUCUGAACCGGCAGCAUGGUGGAAUUGGCUUUUUACCCGGCGGUGGCGCUGAUGUAUUUCUUUGGAGUGGUGAAAGCCACACAGGACGAUCGGGUGGAGCUGGACGAACGUGCGUCGAUAAACGUUUUCUGUCUGUUCGUGUUGGCACAGCCGCUGUGUCUUGUACUGGGAGAGUACACCGGCAUGGCUACAUACCUCUUCACAGCUCUGGUCUCGUACAACUUCCUGCCUUGGAGGACGACAACACAGCCUGCAAAGGAAAAAGAAUCAAUAAAGAAGUCAAAGUGAGAGCAAGAAAUAUAAACUGAAUGAAGAUGAAAACAAACUGAAUUCAAACUGUUUGGAAAGAAAUAUUUACGUAAGGAAUAAACAUUCAAUGGGAAAAUGUUA